RNAcentral lists this ribosomal RNA (468 nucleotides) under uncultured bacterium. RNAcentral's name for it is "partial 16S ribosomal RNA". It matches the Rfam family "Bacterial small subunit ribosomal RNA", at positions 28 to 507 of the family's 1533-position model. The record is from RNAcentral.
GACGAACGCUGGCGGCGUGCUUAACACAUGCAAGUCGAACGGAAAGGCCCUGCUUUUGUGGGGUGCUCGAGUGGCGAACGGGUGAGUAACACGUGAGUAACCUGUCCUUGACUUUGGGAUAACUUCAGGAAACUGGGGCUAAUACCGGAUAGGAGCUCCUGCUGCAUGGUGGGGGUUGGAAAGUUUCGGCGGUUGGGGAUGGACUCGCGGCUUAUCAGCUUGUUGGUGGGGUAGUGGCUUACCAAGGUUUUGACGGGUAGCCGGCCUGAGAGGGUGACCGGCCACAUUGGGACUGGGGUACGGCCCAGACUCCUACGGGAGGCAGUGGUGGGGAAUAUUACACAAUGGGCGGGAGCCUGAUGCGGCGACGCCGCGUGCGGGAUGACGGCCUUCGGGUUGUAAACCGCUUUGGCCUGAGACGAGGCGUGAGUGACGGUAAUGGGUAAAGAAGCCACGGCUAACUACGUG